CCUACGGGGUGGCUGCAGUGGGGAAUAUUGGACAAUGGGCGAAAGCCUGAUCCAGCCAUGCCGCGUGUGUGAAGAAGGCCUUCGGGUUGUAAAGCACUUUCAGUGGGGAAGAAAGCCUUGGGGCUAAUACCCUCGAGGAAGGACAUCACCCACAGAAGAAGCACCGGCUAACUCCGUGCCAGCAGCCGCGGUAAUACGGAGGGUGCGAGCGUUAAUCGGAAUUACUGGGCGUAAAGCGCGCGUAGGCGGUCUGAUAAGCCGGUUGUGAAAGCCCCGGGCUCAACCUGGGAACGGCAUCCGGAACUGUCAGGCUAGAGUGCAGGAGAGGAAGGUAGAAGUCCCGGUGUAGCGGUGAAAUGCGUAGUGAUCGGGAGGAAUACCAGUGGCGAAGGCGGCCUUCUGGACUGACACUGACGCUGAGGUGCGAAAGCGUGGGUAGCAAACAGGAUUAGAUACCCUGUAGUC
This 465-nucleotide ribosomal RNA is filed under the name Vreelandella stevensii. RNAcentral's name for it is "partial 16S ribosomal RNA". It matches the Rfam family "Bacterial small subunit ribosomal RNA", at positions 338 to 795 of the family's 1533-position model. The record is from RNAcentral. Lineage: Bacteria; Pseudomonadati; Pseudomonadota; Gammaproteobacteria; Oceanospirillales; Halomonadaceae.